RNAcentral lists this ribosomal RNA (253 nucleotides) under uncultured bacterium. RNAcentral's name for it is "partial 16S ribosomal RNA". It matches the Rfam family "Bacterial small subunit ribosomal RNA", at positions 524 to 776 of the family's 1533-position model. The record is from RNAcentral.
GACAUAGGUCGCAAACGUUAUUCGGAAUUACUGGGCUUAAAGAGUUCGUAGGCGGCAUGAAAAGCAGGGUGUGAAAGCCCUCGGCUCAACCGAGGAAUUGCGCUCUGAACUGUCGUGCUUGAGGAACCUAGAGGUGAGCAGAACUGAUGGUGGAGCGGUGAAAUGCGUUGAUAUCAUCAGGAAUACCGGAGGCGAAGGCGGCUCACUGGGGGUUUUCUGACGCUGAGGAGCGAAAGUGUGGGGAGCGAACAGG